UACGUAGGGGGCAAGCGUUGUCCGGAUUUAUUGGGCGUAAAGAGCGCGCAGGCGGUUUGUUAAGUCCGAGGUGAAAUCUCCCGGCUCAACUGGGAGGGGUCUUCGGAUACUGGCCGACUUGAGGAGAGCAGAGGUGAGUGGAAUUCUCGGUGUAGUGGUGAAAUGCGUAGAUAUCGAGAGGAACACCAGCGGCGAAGGCGGCUCACUGGGCUCCACCUGACGCUGAGGCGCGAAAGCGUGGGGAGCGAACCGG
RNAcentral lists this ribosomal RNA (253 nucleotides) under uncultured bacterium. RNAcentral's name for it is "partial 16S ribosomal RNA". It matches the Rfam family "Bacterial small subunit ribosomal RNA", at positions 524 to 776 of the family's 1533-position model. The record is from RNAcentral.